Molecule: long non-coding RNA, 5288 nt
Organism: Triticum aestivum (bread wheat)
Lineage: Eukaryota; Viridiplantae; Streptophyta; Magnoliopsida; Poales; Poaceae
Exons: 8
Source: RefSeq, a predicted model, not a curated record
CACACACCACAUCUCCUUUCUUUCUUGCCUGGAUUUCCCACGCCGCUGCUUCUGCCUAUCUAUUUUUUCUCAGACGCCAUUGCUGUAGAGUUGCUGCACGGGCGCCCUCACCCACGAAGCGCGGCGCCGCGGGAGUUGUUGCUGCUGCAAGGGAUGCCAUCGCCAUGGCCGAACGCGACGGGGCUGAGCACCGGCGCUAUUACGACAGGGGGCCAUGGUCUGCGAGCUCACAGGCCAGGGCGGCCAUGGCUACGAGCUCGAGUUUUGGUUUUUUGCUACUACCGGCACUGUCGUUUGUUACAUCCUUUUUCAUGAGAUUGUCGAGACCCUGCGCUUGUGUGUUUUGCUACAACCUUGUACUGUUUUUGCUACAACCUUCUACAUUUUUUGCUACUACUGGAGAAGCCCCUAGCUGGACCACAAGUUAUUUUUGCUACAACCGUUUUGUGGUUUGCUGUAACCAGUGUCAAUUUUUGCUACCACCGACUUCUUUGAUUUUUCUGGAACCAGCGCUCGAUUUUUUAUUUUUGCUACCACUAGCGUUUCGAUUUGCUGGAACAAGCUUCAAUUUUUGCUACCAUCAGGUUUUUGGGUUGUUGGAGUGUCGUCGAUUUUUUCUAAUUUUGCUACCAACGUUUUAUUAUUUGCUGGAACCGUCAAGAAUUUUUGCUACGGCCGGUGGAAUUUUUUGCUGCGACUGGCAAAUUAAGGAUGAGGAACAACACGAGCUCUACAACGGGUGCUGCGGCCGGUGACGUGAGGCUCCGCGAGCCGCGGGGGGCCUCACCGGAGAUGCGCCGCGGGGGCGUUGCUGGAGCUGGGCCUCGCCGGAGAUGCGCCGCGGGGCUGGAGCUGGGCCUCACCGGAGAUGUGCCGCGGGGGCCUUUGCUGGAGCUGCGCGGUGCUACGAGCCGCGGGGGAUCUCACCGGAGAUGCGCCGUGCUGCGAGCCGCAGGGGAUCUCGCCGGAGAUGCGCCACGGGGCCCGAGGAAGAAGAAGCUGGGGCGAUUUAUUAUUUUUUUUGGCUCCAGAUCCAACCGCCGCGCGGCUCGCAUCGAGCGGCUAUGGCUGGACCGGCCGAAAGUUUCGGCCGGUGCGCCGGCGCCUAGUGGUGACCUUGGCUAAUCUAAUCUCGUGGACUAUAGAUCUCCCUCACACCUUUUCGUGACUAUGCUACGGGCACACACAAGUUGUACGCAGCACAUGCUCUAGGCUCAGCAAUAUAUUUCCCGUUCUGUGCCCGAAUGGAAGCACAUCCAACGACGCACGAGCUUGAUCCAGCUCGUGGCGUGGCGGAGCCAUGUGCGGUAUGCACAUUUAGCAACACCCAAAAUGUUGAAUAAAAGAAAAAUCCCGUUCUUUCAGUUUGAAUUCAAAACAUGUAGACGACUGAGUAUUAUGUGCAUAUUUUAAGUUCCGUGCAAUGUUUUGCAUUCUUGUGGCCUAUAUUAUAAAAUAAAAAUAAAGAGUACUGCAAUAUGGGUUAGCUCAUCAUUGUUGUUGUCUUAUACGUAGGUAUUACGCGCAAAAAAGAAGUUUUUUAUAAGAAUUUGGAGAUACCUACUUUAUACCAAUACCUUAUUCUUGUACCACUUGUUUUUGACAUUUUGUCGACUCAUAUUUUGAAUUUUGAACAUAAAUGGAUGCCACUUAUAUGUGCUGGGGCAAAGAAACCCUCCUCCCCUCUAUGCACACUACAAGUGGUGCUUUAACCAAGCUUAACUUUGACACAACAUGUAAAAGAUUCUUACAAAAGGGAAUAGACUAGCUAUUAGUGACACUCCUAAAAAGCCAUGUUGGGCCAACCCUCCAUCUCACUUCCCAUUUUUGGAAGAGGAGAUACACGUUCUAGGCGUGGAGAUUUGAGGGAGUGGAGGUGGUGUCACUAGCGACCGUGAGAUCCACUGCUUCUAUCUAACUUGUGCCCAUGGGAUCCAUGGUGACCCCCCUUUCGCGCGACACCUAAGAUCCGAGGCUACCACCCUCGUCGUUGUGUGGGUGGAGGUGGACUCAUGGAGGAGCCGAGGGAGACUAAGGUGGUGGUGUGCGAAAGCUGCAGAGCUGGUGAAGCGAGCACAUGAAAGACGAGGGCUCGGAAACAAGGUAACAUAAACGGGCGAGCCGUAUUGAAAUUUUUGUGUGGUCAAAAGUAACAUGUACAUGAUCACUCGCCAAGAAAUUUCUCGCUUGCAAACAUAUAAAUAGAAACAAGUGGACAACACUUCAUCUAACAUAUAAAAGCUGCUAGAGUACCCGCCCAUCCAGCGCCAUCGCGAUUUCAAAACGAUCCUGCACGCACGCUUUGCCUCGCUGGCGUCGUAACAGUAAUUUUCAUUGACCUGGUAAGUAUCCGACCACUCGUUUUCUUGUACGCCCCGUAAUCGGCCCAUGAGCAGCUGACGAGUGGGUCACGUUUCGACGUAGGGCAGCCUUGCAGCGACGCAUGGAUGGUGCGUGCUUCUGUGGAUGAAAAGCAGGGGCAGGUCGCUCGUGGGCUGUGGCCAAUCGAUCGUGGAUUGUCAGGGCGUUUUUUACCGUCCUCGUUCGCACCCAGCGACGGCGCCUCAGCUUUAGCCGCAUCGGGCCCAUUUGUCGGUCUCCUGGGUGCCCGGCUCAGAGAGAGCAGCGAGCGAGCGGGCGACCUGGGCGAGCGGGCACGAGAGAAAAGAAAAAGGGAAGCCGCCGCGAGAGAAAAAAGUAAAAGCAGCCAGACCUAGCCCGCGCCCCGCAGCCGCCUCCUCUCUCUCUUGCCGCCGCCGCCUCCACCUCCCCUCCUGCCGCCGCCGCCGCCUCAGCCUCGGCCGGGCCGUGCUCUGCCGGCGCCCGUCGGCCUUGAUCCGGCCUCGCAGGAGGAGCUCGCCCUCGAGGAGGACUCGACAGGAGGAGGGGAGCAGUGCCUCUUCUCCUCCCCUUCGCUUUUCUCCUCCCCACGUUCUAGAUUGGGCACAAGUCACCACCAUACAAGAGCAUGGGUUGCAUGAUCUUCAUGGUGGGCGUGGUGGAGCAAGGAGGGAGGAGGAUAGCGAUGGGGGAAGGAGAAGCAAGGUUGGAGCUCCAGGAUCUACGUUGGCGUGCCGCUGGAGUGGAUGAGUGGUCGUCCGUUGCGCGCCGGCCGUCGUCCCCGUCCCCAAUCUGGGCUGCCUAUCGUGAGUGCUUGAUGUUACCUCCAUCAGCUGAUGAGGCGAGGCUGCUGCUGCUGAAAAAUGGUGCUGCUACCGGAGGCAGUGGAGAGGCAUUCCGUGGACCAACUAUGGUGUGGUUCAGAUAGUCCAAGGAGUGGAAACUAUAACCUUGUCAAAUUCUACACAUAGCCAUUAUGACGACACAUUUAUGCGAUAGAUUGUCAAUAUUUAAGUUGAUACACUAAAGACGGAGAUGUGGAAAGCUUGCCACGGAGGCACACAGGCUUGCUGAUUCUGUUUUGGAUUUGUCCUUGAGAGGAGGCCGAAGCAAACUUCAACAGGCAUCAGGCCUUGUGGUCGGUUGCCAUUGUUGUGCAGUAAUUUCUCUCCGAAACACUCGUCCAAAUUUAUGAUUGGUUUCGCUGGCGCUGCAUGUAAGUGAGGUCUACUUAUUGUUCUAUUGGCUUUGCUCCGAUGAGUUCUUCCCCAUAUACCUUUUUGAUGAUUUUGCCACCAUAUGGUCGACCUGGUCUUAUCAAGGUUUAUCAUGGUUUUCGUGGUAGUGUGACUGGCUCACAGUACAUAAUUGUCUGCCUUCUCCACCAAAUGUAUGUGUUAUGAUAUUUUGUAAGGCUAGGCACACCCUAGGUUGUUUAAUGCUUUUGAUCUAGCUUGUUAUGAGAUAAUUAAACAAUCGUGUUUAUUUGCUCACGAGCAAGAUGAUGAUUUCAAGCCAAUGACUAUUUGCCCCUUUUAGAGUUUCUACCAUUUAAUUGUGUUGUUAUUUCCCUUAAUAGAAUAUUUGCUAAUGGUUAGACUACCUUGCGGUUAUUAUUCCUAUGGGCAAACAAAUAUAUGAUUAUUAAUAUUGCAUAGCUUGAACAAAAGCACAUGACCUGUCUUCUGCAUUGGUGGCUAAAAUUGAGAUACUUAUGCUUGUUGAUGCCUUCCCUUUUGUAGUAAAAUCCAUGCUUCUAGCGUAUGUAGACGCCUCUGGCGUCGAACUGAAGAGACGAGGAAGAAAGGGGAUACACAAGCUCGUUGGAUCCACUCGCUGCCGCUUCAUAUUCAGCUCUUCAUGGGUCACGACUGUCGCUAUUCGUGGGCCGGGCUAAAUAACAUAUGGGCCAUCGAAAUACUUAUCUCCAUAUACGCAGAACAGAAAGAUCAAAAAUCUCACAAUGGAAGACAUGGACAUUGGCAUCGUCUGUGAGACGGUUCCCCAGGAUCAGCAGCAUCAAGGACAGCAACGCCUGCGCCCAAUGAGAAUGACUAUCUGAUAGUAAUUCCUUAAGCCCACAUAUUCGCCCUGGUGCUGAAAGCUCUGAAGUUACCCCCCGCAACUUAUUAUCACAAGAUAUGCCCAGGCGGAAAGAAUCGUGUGACGGUUACUUUCAUUUCUUCUUUGGAAUUGCUCGAUGGUGCACUUGUUCCAAGUUCUCUGUCAGGUGCAAUCUUAGAUAGCUAUGAAGAUGCUGAAGACAGUGCUGCUAUUGAAGCUAUUAGAUACAUGGAAAAUGCAUAUGGCAAAGAAAUGAGGGACUACCACUACACUCAUGUCAAGAAGCUUCAAAAUCAAGUGACGCACCUGGUCAAAUGGCUGGUUGCAUCAAAUAAAACAAUCAAGAAGCUGUGCAAAACAUGCUACUACGCCGUCAGGUAUAUGAGCUCAUAUUUUGCCCAAAUAGAAAACACAACGACUGCUCGGCAUUUGAAAGGGCGGGAUAGCAAAGGGAGUUAUGAAAACAGCGCUGGCAAGCAUUGAAGGACUGACGCAGAGGCUACGCUACAUUGCUAUGAAGUUUGAGCAGCGCCUCGAAGCAACCAGAAAUAGUUUCUGGUGAGCUUUGGUCAAUGUGUCCUGACGUAUCGAUCAGACAAGGAUCUUUCGCAUUUUGGCGUACUCCAAGCAAGAUAUGUGUACGCUUUAGUCUUAACUUGCUGCCUCUAUGCUGAAAAGUAGUGUAUGAUAUAGUCUACGAUCUUUAAACUUUGUUGUUAUCUCUGUACUCAGAAGCGGGUUAUCAUCGCUUACUGUAUAUAUGUGAAGGCCUCUUCUUCUGCUAUUCUUUCCAGGCCACUGCUUCUGUGGUGAAAAGUAUUGUAUAAUGUAGUCUAUGAUCUUUAGAUUAUAUUGUUCUCUUUGUAGUCAAAAGCAGUUUUUCA